AUUGAACGCUGGCGGCAUGCCUUACACAUGCAAGUCGAACGGCAGCACGGGGGCAACCCUGGUGGCGAGUGGCGAACGGGUGAGUAACAUAUCGGAACGUGCCCUGGAGUGGGGGAUAACUAGUCGAAAGAUUAGCUAAUACCGCAUACGAUCUACGGAUGAAAGUGGGGGAUCGCAAGACCUCAUGCUCGUUGAGCGGC
RNAcentral lists this ribosomal RNA (200 nucleotides) under uncultured bacterium. Its description in RNAcentral is "partial 16S ribosomal RNA". It matches the Rfam family "Bacterial small subunit ribosomal RNA", at positions 30 to 230 of the family's 1533-position model. The record is from RNAcentral.